CCUACGGGAGGCAGCAGUGGGGAAUAUUGCACAAUGGGGGAAACCCUGACGCAGCUACGCCGCGUGAGUGCCGAAGUCAUUCGUUAUGUAAAGUUCUAUCAACAGGGAAGAAAAUGCCAGUACGUCACUAAGAAGCCCCAGCUAACUACGUGCACGCCGCCGCGGUAAUACGAAGGGGGCACGCGUUAUCCGGAUCUACUGGGUGUAACGGGAGCGUAGACGGCAGUGCAAGUCAGGAGUGAAAGGCGGGGGCUCAACCCCCGGACUGCUCUUGAAACUGGACGUCGUGAGUGCAGGAGAGGUCAGUGGAAGUCCUAGUGUAGCGGUGAAAUGCGUAGAUAUGAGGAGGAAUACCAGUGGCGAAGGCGGCUUACUGGACUGUAACUGACGUUGAGGCGCGAAAGCGUGGGGAGCAAACAGGAUUAGAUACCCUAGUAGUC
This 440-nucleotide ribosomal RNA is filed under the name uncultured bacterium. Its description in RNAcentral is "partial 16S ribosomal RNA". It matches the Rfam family "Bacterial small subunit ribosomal RNA", at positions 338 to 795 of the family's 1533-position model. The record is from RNAcentral.